RNAcentral lists this unclassified non-coding RNA (4074 nucleotides) under Leishmania donovani. RNAcentral describes it as "gene:LdHU3.36.8260(CDS-product:glycerophosphoryl_ diester_phosphodiesterase_putative)". The record is from RNAcentral. Lineage: Eukaryota; Euglenozoa; Kinetoplastea; Trypanosomatida; Trypanosomatidae.
GCAAUGGCACUCAACGCUCUCCUGCACACCUUUUGUAGCUCUAUCUCUGUUCAUGCACGGCACACACACACACAAGUAUAAUCAGAAGCAGACACGUACACACCUCUAUGGCGAUCGCCCUUCUCAUUGCAGUUUCUCCAAAAUAGAAAGCGGAACGCCAGCAGGCUUCUCUUUUUUUUUUUUUGGGCGGGGGUUCUCACUCUAGCUACGCGCAGUGUGAUCGCUGCAUUUCUGCACUGUCCCUGUCUUCUGCGCAGCCCAUCUUCCGUGAUCUUGCCUUCUUACGCCGAGCCAUCAACCCUGUCUCCCUCGCUUCCUCUGCUCAUUGGCGCUUUCGCUCCUUCUUAGACAGCCCCAGUCAAAAUGAGGUCAGCGUCGACCAUGUGCCAGCGGUGGCCCCAGCACACGAACAUCGCGCAGGACAACCAGGCCCACCACAAGCCGCUGAUCCAGCGAUUUGUCCGUGAUGGCGCGAACCCGCGCCCUCAGCUGCGCUUCUUACUGCACUCCCCCGACUCGAAGUUCCCGGUCUGCGUCGCAUGCCACCGCGGUGACUGGCGCAACUACGUCGAGAACACGCUCGAGGCUGUGGAAAGCUGCAUCCAGAUGGGGGCUGACAUAGUCGAAGUCGAUGUCUGGCGCACAAGUGACGGCGCGCUCAUCCUCAUGCACGACGAGACGCUCGACCGUACAACGAAUGGUAAAGGUAGGGUGUGCGAUCACACUCUUGCCGAGGUGCGUGCGCUGCGUCUGAAGGACGGACUUGGCAACAUGACGGAGUUCACGGUGCCGACGGUGGAGGAGGUGUUACUCCUGGCGAAGGACCGCGUCAUCCUCAACUUGGACAAGGCCGACGUCUACCUGGAUGAGCUCUACCCUCUGCUCGUGAAGACGGGGAUGGUGGAGCAGACGAUUCUAAAGUCGGAGAUUCCCUUCGAUGAGCUGUGCAAGCGGUACUCUGCGGAUUUGCUCAACCGUGUUAUUUUCAUGCCCAUUUUGAAUAUCACGGACACCACAACGUACGAGAGCAUCGACCGCGCCUUUGCCGCCAACCACGCCCUGUAUGAGGUGAACUUCGAGAAGGAAAAUGCCGACAUGCUGCAGUACAUUCGAAAGCUCGCCAAGAACUCGGGUGCGGCGCUGUGGAUCAACACCAUUUGGCCGACCACCUGCGGCGGUUACAGCGAUGACCACGCGCUGCGUGACAAGGACGCGAACUGGGGCUAUGUGGUUGAACACAUCGGGGCCGGCAUCAUACAGACAGACCGGCCUGCGAUGCUGCUCGCGUACCUCCAAGAGCGUGGCUGUCGCUAAGACGGUGGCCCGCGGAGACACCAACACCCUUGCAGUUACCAUGCAGCUUCCAGGCCUCUUCGAGGACGCGCACGUUCUUUAUGGCACCGUAGGAGAUACAAAAAAGAAGGAAAGAGAUCAUCAAGGUAAACCUCUGUGCUUUUUUUUUCAGCGUCAUCUCGUCUCUUUUUUUGCCUUUUUCUGCUCGACUGCGUGAUGUUGCCGGCGCGUUUUGUUUCUGUUUUUGUAUUUGCGUGUGGUCACAUGCUCUCUUUCUUCGUCAAGUUUCUUCACCCUCGCCUCCAACUUCCCUACCAGCCCCGUCGGGCCGUCUUUGCUCUUUGCUGUCCGUACGCGCAGAUGCGGUUUGGGGUACAUGCGUGCCCGUGAAGCUCAAACAUAUAUAUUUAUAUACACACACACGCACACACAGAUUCACCACAGCAACGCACCGUAGCAGUGGAUGUGACGGAUGAUGGGUGCACACCAUCCAACCGUGAAGGGAUACCGAUUGGAAAACGAAUGAGCGGCGGUAUACGUCAACGGGUGACCCGCAAAGAACACACCAGCGAUGGUUCUUUUCCUUGCUUGCUCGUCAAACGCAUCGCUCUUUCCACUCUACACCAACCGCACUCCCUCAGCAGUGUUACGUUUUCGGUCUUUUCCUUUUUGUGUGUGUGUGACUUUUUCACUGCUCCCUUAUCUUAUUUUUUUUUGGCUACCUUUUUCGUGUGUUUUGUGUGCUGCUCUCUCGUUUCGGCACAUCCGCGUUGUCGAUCCCGUGAGGAGCUCUCUGCUUGUAACCCCUCUUCCCCCACACCGACCCGCCGAUACACACACACACACAUACACCUCCUCCUCACAUCUCAAACCUUGUGCGCGCAACACGUGAGAAAACACGACCAUGAGGGGACAAAAAGGGAGAGAUAGCAAAAGAGAGCAAGAGAGAGGGAGAGAGCACACAACCACAUGAAACGAGAGGACGGCGGCUGUGCAUGUUGCGGAUCCCUCUCCCACUUUUGUUGUUGCUGUUUUCGUCUCUUUCUUGUCAUAUUGUGUCGGUGGCCCUGUGUCUGUCUCUUUCCCGCUUGCCUUGUUGGUUUUUCGUUUCUGUGUUGGCUGCGUCUCCUCAUCUUGUCUCGCUCGCUCUGUUUGUGUGUGUACACAUAGAUGCAGAAGACGAGGAGGUUGUUCACACACACACACACACAUACACACAUUCAGCGAGAGAGAAGAAGGGCACAACAAGAGGGGUGCGCAACAAAAACAAGUUGCUCGAAAAUGAUGAUAAUAAUAAUAGGCACACGGCACGCACAAGAAAUGUAGUAAUACGAAGAACAGCCACAGAGGUGACAGCCGCGCCACGAUACGCCCCUUUGAAGAAGCGGCAACCGCCUCCGAAAAAAGAAAAGAAGGCCGAUGAUUUGAUCCUGAGCAAAAACCAACUUGACAUAUGUGGGAAGGAGGGGGGAAAGUGAUGCGGCGGCGGUAACGCAGAGAGUGUAAUCGCAUUUUGGGAGUUGUCCCUUCUCGCCCUCCCUCUGCCUCCGCCGUGACUCUGUCUCUCUGUGUAGCUCCUCCUGUUUGCACGCAUACACAGCUGUGCACAAUGCACACUGGUGAAGUAUGCUGAUCCUCUGGUUCUGUUUUGUUGGAGAGUUUUCCCCAUCACCUGAAGUGUCGCAAGGAGAGAGGAGGGAGGGGGGAUCACCAAAACCGAGGUGGUUGCGUUUUUGUCUUGCGCUGCAAAGAAUCUUCGCGUUCCUUGAAAAGUUACGAAGUAACGGUGCAGACAUGCCGAAAAGAAGCCAGAGUAGAAGUGUGGAAGCUUCUGGCACACUUUUCGUUUGCCUCGUCCCAUUUCGUGUUGCGCCCCUUUCGCUCACUUGUUGGCCUCGUUCCCAUCCAUCCCUCUUAGUGUGCCUGCGCGCCGUCCUUUUUGGGUUCGAGUGCUCGAGCCGCUCUUUUCGUUUCCUCCUCCCUCUUCUGUCGGUCUCUCUGCGGUGUUAGGGUGAAUCUGAGGCUGCCUUCCGUGACGGCAAGUUUUGGCUCUCAGAAAAAAAAACGAAAGCAAGCGUCAUGGGGCGGGGGAGGGGGUGCAUAGAGAGCAGACUACAAGAGUCCGAAAAGGGUCGGAAUAGGUGAACAGAAUGCCUCGGGAUCCAUGUCCAUGUGUUUCGCCUUCUCCAUAACCUUUGCGUUUCGACGAGCAUGUGGUCGUAUGGUGCAACAGCGGUAUAUGCCAUGGGGCUCUGCGCGCAUAUGUGCUGCCUUAUUCGUCAUAGAGUGGACACGAUGGACAAAAGGCCGAUAUAUAUAAAGGCUCGAUCCCGUCGCGUUCUUUUCGAACUAGGAACAGGACCGAGUGCGCGAGAGAAGGGGGACAGCAGCGGAAAAGAUAUCGAAAGAGAAGGGAGGAGAGAAGAAGUCUAAAGCCAUGGAGAACAAUUUCGACGAUCGAGAGCGAGACUUGCGGAACAAUAACAAAAAGAAGCCGGUCCUGCGUUGUGAUGUCAUCUACUUGACACAUGCCAGCCUCAAAAAAAAUGUUUUUUUUUUUCUUUUGGUAAUGGCCUCUCGGUGGCGUUCUUGUUUUUUUCUCUUUGUUUCUCCUCCUUCCGGAUAUGCCGUGCUCUCCUACGGUUUGCCUUCUGUUCCAUCCCUCGACGCUAGCAGUCUCUCGCAAUUUUUUGUCGCUCUUGCUUGUGGGGCUGGCACUUUUGUGUCUGUGUGUGGAUUCGCAGGAUGGCCACCUGGCCGCCCUUCUCUCGUCCACGCAAC